Molecule: transfer RNA, 70 nt
Filed under: Rhipicephalus sanguineus (brown dog tick)
Lineage: Eukaryota; Metazoa; Arthropoda; Arachnida; Ixodida; Ixodidae
Description: transfer RNA glycine (anticodon GCC)
Rfam family: tRNA
About the family: Transfer RNA (tRNA) molecules are approximately 80 nucleotides in length. Their secondary structure includes four short double-helical elements and three loops (D, anti-codon, and T loops). Further hydrogen bonds mediate the characteristic L-shaped molecular structure. tRNAs have two regions of fundamental functional importance: the anti-codon, which is responsible for specific mRNA codon recognition, and the 3' end, to which the tRNAs corresponding amino acid is attached (by aminoacyl-tRNA synthetases). tRNAs cope with the degeneracy of the genetic code in two manners: having more than one tRNA (with a specific anti-codon) for a particular amino acid; and 'wobble' base-pairing, i.e. permitting non-standard base-pairing at the 3rd anti-codon position.
Source: Rfam by way of RNAcentral
GCGUCGGUGGUUCAGUGUAGAAUACUCGCCUGCCACGCGGGUGGCCCGGGUUCGAUUCCCGGCCGACGCA